This 350-nucleotide ribosomal RNA is filed under the name uncultured bacterium. RNAcentral describes it as "bacterial SSU rRNA". It matches the Rfam family "Bacterial small subunit ribosomal RNA", at positions 8 to 349 of the family's 1533-position model. The record is from RNAcentral.
AGAGUUUGAUCCUGGCUCAGGAUGAACGCUAGCGGCAGGCUUAACACAUGCAAGUCGAGGGGCAGCAUAAUGGAUAGCAAUAUCUAUGGUGGCGACCGGCGCACGGGUGCGUAACGCGUAUGCAACCUACCUUUAACAGGGGGAUAACACUGAGAAAUUGGUACUAAUACCCCAUAAUAUCAUAGAAGGCAUCUUUUAUGGUUGAAAAUUCCGAUGGUUAGAGAUGGGCAUGCGUUGUAUUAGCUAGUUGGUGGGGUAACGCUCACCAAGGCGACGAUACGAGUAGGGGGACUGAGACGGUUAACCCCCANACUGGUACUGAGACACGGACCAGACUCCGUACGGGAGCA